GACGAACGCUGGCGGCGUGCUUAACACAUGCAAGUCGAACGGAAAGGCCUCUUUCGCGUGGUACUCGAGUGGCGAACGGGUGAGUAACACGUGAGUAACCUGCCCUUUACUUUGUGAUAACUUCAGGAAACUGGGGCUAAUACCUAAUAGGAGCUCCGACUGCAUGGUGGGGGUUGGAGAGUUUCGGCGGUUGGGGGUGGGCUGGCGGCGUAUCCGCUUGUUGGUGGGGUAGUGGCUUGCCAAGGCGUUGACGGGUAGCCGGACUGUGGCGGUGACAGGCGACACUGGCACCGACGGAAGGCCCAGGUGCCUAAGGGAGGACGAAGUGGGGAAGACUGAACCAGGGGUGGCAGGCGGAUGCAGAAAGGCCGCGGGCGGGAUAACGGCCUUGGGGUUGUAGAACGGCUUCGCGCAUGACGAAGGCUUGUGUGACGGUAGUGGGUAAAGAAGCACCGGCUAACUACGUG
Molecule: ribosomal RNA, 467 nt
Filed under: uncultured bacterium
Lineage: Bacteria
Description: partial 16S ribosomal RNA
Rfam family: Bacterial small subunit ribosomal RNA
Source: RNAcentral